This 253-nucleotide ribosomal RNA is filed under the name uncultured bacterium. Its description in RNAcentral is "partial 16S ribosomal RNA". It matches the Rfam family "Bacterial small subunit ribosomal RNA", at positions 524 to 777 of the family's 1533-position model. The record is from RNAcentral.
UACGAAGGGGGCUAGCGUUGCUCGGAAUUACUGGGCGUAAAGCGCACGUAGGCGGGUCGUUAAGUCGGGGGUGAAAUCCUGGAGCUCAACUCCAGAACUGCCUUCGAUACUGGGAGCUCGAGUCCGGGAGAGGUGAGUGGAACUGCGAGUGUAGAGGUGAAAUUCGUAGAUAUUCGCAAGAACACCAGUGGCGAAGGCGGCUCACUGGCCCGGUACUGACGCUGAGGUGCGAAAGCGUGGGGAGCGAACGAGG